CAGUUGCGAACAGUCACACAUUGACUCUCAAGGCAAUUAAGGGAAAUACAGUAAAACAGAGUGAUAUUUUCAAGCUAAAGAAGACAAUGAACUGAAUUAUGAACCUUGUCAAACUUCUUCAUCACUACAAAUAACAGUAAGUGAGCAUAUCAACAAAAUAUGCUGGAUACUUCAGCUAGUUUCCUGCUGUUGCUAGUAGCAGCUAAGAGUUGAAUAUGGAAGGAAAAGCUGAGUUAUACUUCACAGUGGCAACUGCAGUGGGUCUUAACUUUAAGACACGGACACGUCGACACCGUUAUAGAAAAGAGAAAACUUUCGAGAAGAACGAUUGAAGCUGCUACGGGACAUGAUAUGAAAACGUUGUUGCCAUGGAAGGAAAUCACUUUAAAAUGAACAGACACCAUUUUGCCAUGAAAAAAACUUCCAAAUGUGACAUGCUCGACAGGACAUCCAACAGAGAAGAACAUCACCACGUCAGAAAAGGAGGAAGGCGCUGACAAUGUUCAGCGGAUGGCUGUUCUACACGAGUCGGGUUUUGCUCGAGGUUUCUGCCUCAAGAAAUGAAAACAGAGGGAUUUCUUGGCUUUGCAGUUUGCCCCAAGUGGACACUUGAGGAACUGCACUUAAAAAAAUAACUUCAUGGUAGGCAUUUCUUUUUUAAGACUUGAAUUAUUUCAUAUUUGACCUCCCUGCAUGAACAAACACAACGUUUUCUG
Non-coding RNA from Labrus bergylta (ballan wrasse), 716 nucleotides. Lineage: Eukaryota; Metazoa; Chordata; Actinopteri; Labriformes; Labridae. The record is from RefSeq and is a predicted model, not a curated record.